GGGGCACUGGCGAAAUUGGACAUCGCAGCGGCCUCCAAAGCCGAAGAUUCCAGGUUCGAGUCCUGGGUGCCCCG
RNAcentral lists this transfer RNA (74 nucleotides) under Thermoleophilaceae bacterium. Its description in RNAcentral is "tRNA-Trp". It matches the Rfam family "tRNA". Rfam says of the family: Transfer RNA (tRNA) molecules are approximately 80 nucleotides in length. Their secondary structure includes four short double-helical elements and three loops (D, anti-codon, and T loops). Further hydrogen bonds mediate the characteristic L-shaped molecular structure. tRNAs have two regions of fundamental functional importance: the anti-codon, which is responsible for specific mRNA codon recognition, and the 3' end, to which the tRNAs corresponding amino acid is attached (by aminoacyl-tRNA synthetases). tRNAs cope with the degeneracy of the genetic code in two manners: having more than one tRNA (with a specific anti-codon) for a particular amino acid; and 'wobble' base-pairing, i.e. permitting non-standard base-pairing at the 3rd anti-codon position. The record is from RNAcentral. Lineage: Bacteria; Bacillati; Actinomycetota; Thermoleophilia; Thermoleophilales; Thermoleophilaceae.